UACGGGGGGGGCAAGCGUUGUUCGGAAUUACUGGGCGUAAAGGGCUCGUAGGCGGCCAACUAAGUCAGACGUGAAAUCCCUAGGCUCAACCUAGGAACUGCGUCUGAUACUGGAUGGCUUGAAUCCGGGAGAGGGAUGCAGAAUUCCAGGUGUAGCGGUGAAAUGCGUAGAUAUCUGGAGGAACACCUGUGGCGAAGGCGGCCCCCUGGUUGGAUACUGACGCUGAUACGCGAAAGCGUGGGGAGCAAACAGG
This 253-nucleotide ribosomal RNA is filed under the name uncultured bacterium. RNAcentral's name for it is "partial 16S ribosomal RNA". It matches the Rfam family "Bacterial small subunit ribosomal RNA", at positions 524 to 776 of the family's 1533-position model. The record is from RNAcentral.